RNAcentral lists this non-coding RNA (53 nucleotides) under Palpitomonas bilix. The record is from RNAcentral.
UUGUUCCAUUUUCUUUUCUUUCUUUUCUUUUCUCUUUUCAUGUUUUGUGGAUU